GACGAACGCUGGCGGCGUGCUUAACACAUGCAAGUCGAACGGAAAGGCCCUGCUUGCCGGGUACUCGAGUGGCGAACGGGUGAGUAACACGUGGGUGCUCUGCCCUGCACUUCGGGAUAAGCCUGGGAAACUGGGUCUAAUACCGGAUAGGAGCCAUUUUUAGUGUGAUGGUUGGAAAGUUUUUUCGGUGUAGGAUGAGCUCGCGGCCUAUCAGCUUGUUGGUGGGGUAAUGGCCUACCAAGGCGGCGACGGGUAGCCGGCCUGAGAGGGUGGACGGCCACAUUGGGACUGAGAUACGGCCCAGACUCCUACGGGAGGCAGCAGUGGGGAAUAUUGCACAAUGGGCGCAAGCCUGAUGCAGCGACGCCGCGUGGGGGAUGACGGCCUUCGGGUUGUAAACUCCUUUCGCUAGGGACGAAGCUUUUUGUGACGGUACCUAGAGAAGAAGCACCGGCUAACUACGUG
RNAcentral lists this ribosomal RNA (465 nucleotides) under uncultured bacterium. Its description in RNAcentral is "partial 16S ribosomal RNA". It matches the Rfam family "Bacterial small subunit ribosomal RNA", at positions 28 to 507 of the family's 1533-position model. The record is from RNAcentral.